AUGAACGCUAGCGACAGGCCUAACACAUGCAAGUCGAGGGGCAGCACAAGGAGCAAUCUGAGGUGGCGACCGGCGCACGGGUGAGUAACACGUAUGCAACCUGCCUGUAAGCGGGGAAUAACCCGUUGAAAGACGGACUAAUACCGCAUAAUACUAAAUUACUGCAUGGUAAUUUAUUUAAACAUUUAUGGCUUACAGAUGGGCAUGCGCAUGAUUAGCUAGUUGGAGAGGUAACGGCUCCCCAAGGCAACGAUCAUUAGGGGUUCUGAGAGGAAGGUCCCCCACACUGGUACUGAGACACGGACCAGACUCCUACGGGAGGCAGCAGUGAGGAAUAUUGGUCAAUGGACGAGAGUCUGAACCAGCCAAGUCGCGUGCAGGAAGAAUGUCCUAAUGGAUUGUAAACUGCUUUUGCAGGGGAAUAAAGUGCAUCACGUGUGAUGUUUUGUAUGUACUCUGCGAAUAAGGAUCGGCUAACUCCGUGCCAGCAGCAGC
This 495-nucleotide ribosomal RNA is filed under the name uncultured bacterium. RNAcentral's name for it is "bacterial SSU rRNA". It matches the Rfam family "Bacterial small subunit ribosomal RNA", at positions 29 to 518 of the family's 1533-position model. The record is from RNAcentral.